Molecule: ribosomal RNA, 447 nt
Filed under: uncultured bacterium
Lineage: Bacteria
Description: bacterial SSU rRNA
Rfam family: Bacterial small subunit ribosomal RNA
Source: RNAcentral
UCGGGAAUUUUGGGCAAUGGGCGAAAGCCUGACCCAGCAACGCCGCGUGAAGGAUGAAGUAUUUCGGUAUGUAAACUUCGAAAGAAUAGGAAGAAUAAAUGACGGUACUAUUUAUAAGGUCCGGCUAACUACGUGCCAGCAGCCGCGGUAAUACGUAGGGACCAAGCGUUGUUCGGAAUUACUGGGCGUAAAGCGAACGUAGGUGGUUAUGUGUGUCUAGUGUGAAAGCCCACGGCUCAACCGUGGAAGUGCGCUAGAAACUGCAUAACUGGAGUGUAGGAGAGGAUAGUAGAAUUCUCAGUGUAGAGGUGAAAUUCGUAGAUACUGGGAGGAACACCGGUGGCGAAGGCGACUAUCUGGACUAUAACUGACACUGAUGUUCGAAAGCGUGGGGAGCAAACAGGAUUAGAUACCCCAGUAGUCCCUGAGCGGGCUGGCAAGGCGCAU